ACCUACCUAUAAGACUGGGAUAACUUCGGGAAACCGGAGCUAAUACCGGAUAAUAUUUCGAACCGCAUGGUUCGAUAGUGAAAGAUGGUUUUGCUAUCACUUAUAGAUGGACCCGCGCCGUAUUAGCUAGUUGGUAAGGUAACGGCUUACCAAGGCGACGAUACGUAGCCGACCUGAGAGGGUGAUCGGCCACACUGGAACUGAGACACGGUCCAGACUCCUACGGGAGGCAGCAGCC
This 238-nucleotide ribosomal RNA is filed under the name uncultured Staphylococcus sp. RNAcentral's name for it is "partial 16S ribosomal RNA". It matches the Rfam family "Bacterial small subunit ribosomal RNA", at positions 124 to 355 of the family's 1533-position model. The record is from RNAcentral. Lineage: Bacteria; Bacillati; Bacillota; Bacilli; Caryophanales; Staphylococcaceae.